GAUGAACGCUGGCGGCGUGCCUAAUACAUGCAAGUCGAGCGAACGGACGAGAAGCUUGCUUCUCUGAUGUUAGCGGCGGACGGGUGAGUAACACGUGGAUAACCUACCUAUAAGACUGGGAUAACUUCGGGAAACCGGAGCUAAUACCGGAUGAUAUUUUGAACCGCAUGGUUCAAAAGUGAAAGACGGUCUUGCUGUCACUUAUAGAUGGAUCCGCGCUGCAUUAGCUAGUUGGUAAGGUAACGGCUUACCAAGGCAACGAUGCAUAGCCGACCUGAGAGGGGGAACGGCCACACUGGAACUGAGACACGGCCCAGAGUCCUACGGGAGGCAGCAGUAGGGAAGCUUGCGCAAUGGGCGAAAGCCUGACGGAGCAACGCCGCGUGAGUGAUGAAGGUCUUCGGAUCGUAAAACUCUGUUAUUAGGGAAGAACAUAUGUGUAAGUAACUGUGCACAUCUUGACGGUACCUAAUCAGAAAGCCACGGCUAACUACGUG
RNAcentral lists this ribosomal RNA (497 nucleotides) under uncultured bacterium. Its description in RNAcentral is "partial 16S ribosomal RNA". It matches the Rfam family "Bacterial small subunit ribosomal RNA", at positions 28 to 507 of the family's 1533-position model. The record is from RNAcentral.